UACGUAGGGUGCGAGCGUUGUCCGGAUUUAUUGGGCGUAAAGAGCGUGUAGGCGGCCUGGUAGGUCAGCUGUGAAAACUCGAGGCUCAACCUCGAGACGCCGGUUGAAACCAUCAGGCUAGAGUCCGGAAGAGGCGAGUGGAAUUCCUGGUGUAGCGGUGAAAUGCGCAGAUAUCAGGAGGAACACCAAUGGCGAAGGCAGCUCGCUGGGACGUGACUGACGCUGAGACGCGAAAGCCAGGGGAGCAAACGGG
This 253-nucleotide ribosomal RNA is filed under the name uncultured bacterium. RNAcentral's name for it is "partial 16S ribosomal RNA". It matches the Rfam family "Bacterial small subunit ribosomal RNA", at positions 524 to 776 of the family's 1533-position model. The record is from RNAcentral.